RNAcentral lists this ribosomal RNA (650 nucleotides) under uncultured Pseudomonadota bacterium. Its description in RNAcentral is "bacterial SSU rRNA". It matches the Rfam family "Bacterial small subunit ribosomal RNA", at positions 28 to 674 of the family's 1533-position model. Lineage: Bacteria; Pseudomonadati; Pseudomonadota. The record is from RNAcentral.
AUUGAACGCUGGCGGUAUGCUUAACACAUGCAAGUCGGGCGGCAGCGGGGGCUUCGGCCCGCCGGCGAGCGGCGGACGGGUGAGUAACGCAUGGGAAUCUGCCCCGUAGUGGGGGACAACUUAGGGAAACUCAAGCUAAUACCGCAUACGCCCUUCGGGGGAAAGCGGGGGACCUUCGGGCCUCGCGCUACGGGAUGAGCCCAUGUUGGAUUAGCUAGUUGGCGGGGUAAUGGCCCACCAAGGCGACGAUCCAUAGCCGGCCUGAGAGGGUGGCCGGCCACACUGGGACUGAGACACGGCCCAGACUCCUACGGGAGGCAGCAGUGGGGAAUAUUGGACAAUGGGCGGAAGCCUGAUCCAGCAAUACCGCGUGUGUGAAGAAGGCCCGAGGGUUGUAGAGCACUUUCAAUGGGGAGGAAAAAGCGCCGGCGAAUACCCGGCGUAUUGACAUUACCCAUACAAGAAGCACCGGCUAACUCCGUGCCAGCAGCCGCGGUAAUACGGAGGGUGCGAGCGUUAAUCGGAAUUAUUGGGCGUAAAGCGCGUGUAGGCGGUCUGAUUAGUCUGAUGUGAAAGCCCUGGGCUCAACCCAGGAAGUGCAUUGGAAACUGUCAGACUUGAAUACGGGAGAAGGUAGUGGAAUUCCUAGU